UCCCUGAUGGUCCAGUGGUUAAGACUCUGUGCUCCCAAUGCAGGGGGCAUGGGUUCAAUCCCUGGUCAGGAAG
RNAcentral lists this transfer RNA (73 nucleotides) under Bos taurus (domestic cattle). It matches the Rfam family "tRNA". Rfam says of the family: Transfer RNA (tRNA) molecules are approximately 80 nucleotides in length. RNAcentral also lists the same sequence under 4 other names. Lineage: Eukaryota; Metazoa; Chordata; Mammalia; Artiodactyla; Bovidae. The record is from Rfam by way of RNAcentral.